AGUGAACGCUGGCGGCAGGCCUAACACAUGCGAGUCGAACGGCAGCACAAGAGAGCUUGCUCUCUGGGUGGCGAGUGGCGGACGGGUGAGGAAUGCAUCGGAAUCUGCCCAUUUGUGGGGGAUAACCUCGGGAAACCGGGACUAAUACCGCAUACGACCUACGGGUGAAAGCAGGGGAUCUUCGGACCUUGCGCAGAUGGAUGAGCCGAUGCCGGAUUAGCUAGUUGGAGGGGUAAAGGCCCACCAAGGCGACGAUCCGUAGCUGGUCUGAGAGGAUGAUCAGCCACACUGGGACUGAGACACGGCCCAGACUCCUACGGGAGGCAGCAGUGGGGAAUAUUGGACAAUGGGCGCAAGCCUGAUCCAGCCAUGCCGCGUGUGUGAAGAAGGCCUUCGGGUUGUAAAGCACUUUUGUUGGGAAAGAAAAGCAGCCGGUUAAUACCCGGUUGUCAUGACGGUACCCUAAGAAUAAGCACCGGCUAACUUCGUG
This 490-nucleotide ribosomal RNA is filed under the name uncultured bacterium. RNAcentral's name for it is "partial 16S ribosomal RNA". It matches the Rfam family "Bacterial small subunit ribosomal RNA", at positions 29 to 507 of the family's 1533-position model. The record is from RNAcentral.